ACUUAAAUUGAAGAGUUUGAUCAUGGCUCAGAUUGAACGCUGGCGGCAGGCCUAACACAUGCAAGUCGAGCGGUAGCACAGAGAGCUUGCUCUCGGGUGACGAGCGGCGGACGGGUGAGUAAUGUCUGGGAAACUGCCUGAUGGAGGGGGAUAACUACUGGAAACGGUAGCUAAUACCGCAUAACGUCGCAAGACCAAAGUGGGGGACCUUCGGGCCUCAUGCCAUCAGAUGUGCCCAGAUGGGAUUAGCUAGUAGGUGGGGUAAUGGCUCACCUAGGCGACGAUCCCUAGCUGGUCUGAGAGGAUGACCAGCCACACUGGAACUGAGACACGGUCCAGACUCCUACGGGAGGCAGCAGUGGGGAAUAUUGCACAAUGGGCGCAAGCCUGAUGCAGCCAUGCCGCGUGUGUGAAGAAGGCCUUCGGGUUGUAAAGCACUUUCAGCGGGGAGGAAGGCGGUGAGGUUAAUAACCUCAUCGAUUGACGUUACCCGCAGAAGAAGCACCGGCUAACUCCGUGCCAGCAGCCGCGGUAAUACGGAGGGUGCAAGCGUUAAUCGGAAUUACUGGGCGUAAAGCGCACGCAGGCGGUCUGUCAAGUCGGAUGUGAAAUCCCCGGGCUCAACCUGGGAACUGCAUUCGAAACUGGCAGGCUAGAGUCUUGUAGAGGGGGGUAGAAUUCCAGGUGUAGCGGUGAAAUGCGUAGAGAUCUGGAGGAAUACCGGUGGCGAAGGCGGCCCCCUGGACAAAGACUGACGCUCAGGUGCGAAAGCGUGGGGAGCAAACAGGAUUAGAUACCCUGGUAGUCCACGCCGUAAACGAUGUCGAUUUGGAGGUUGUGCCCUUGAGGCGUGGCUUCCGGAGCUAACGCGUUAAAUCGACCGCCUGGGGAGUACGGCCGCAAGGUUAAAACUCAAAUGAAUUGACGGGGGCCCGCACAAGCGGUGGAGCAUGUGGUUUAAUUCGAUGCAACGCGAAGAACCUUACCUGGUCUUGACAUCCACAGAACUUAGCAGAGAUGCUUUGGUGCCUUCGGGAACUGUGAGACAGGUGCUGCAUGGCUGUCGUCAGCUCGUGUUGUGAAAUGUUGGGUUAAGUCCCGCAACGAGCGCAACCCUUAUCCUUUGUUGCCAGCGGUUAGGCCGGGAACUCAAAGGAGACUGCCAGUGAUAAACUGGAGGAAGGUGGGGAUGACGUCAAGUCAUCAUGGCCCUUACGACCAGGGCUACACACGUGCUACAAUGGCAUAUACAAAGAGAAGCGACCUCGCGAGAGCAAGCGGACCUCAUAAAGUAUGUCGUAGUCCGGAUUGGAGUCUGCAACUCGACUCCAUGAAGUCGGAAUCGCUAGUAAUCGUAGAUCAGAAUGCUACGGUGAAUACGUUCCCGGGCCUUGUACACACCGCCCGUCACACCAUGGGAGUGGGUUGCAAAAGAAGUAGGUAGCUUAACCUUCGGGAGGGCGCUUACCACUUUGUGAUUCAUGACUGGGGUGAAGUCGUAACAAGGUAACCGUAGGGGAACCUGCGGUUGGAUCACCUCCUUACCUUAAAGAA
Molecule: ribosomal RNA, 1554 nt
Filed under: Klebsiella pneumoniae
Lineage: Bacteria; Pseudomonadati; Pseudomonadota; Gammaproteobacteria; Enterobacterales; Enterobacteriaceae
Description: bacterial SSU rRNA
Rfam family: Bacterial small subunit ribosomal RNA
Source: RNAcentral